UUACACAGAGGGAAGGUGUUAGCACCCAAAGUGUCCUAGGUACUCUUAGGGAUCCCUUUUUGUGUGCAUAUGUAUUUUGUACAAAGUGAUGUGUACAAACAAAUAGAAUGGGGGGUGAGAAAAGAAUUCAUUAAUUAUAUUUUUGUGUUUGACAAGACCUUCGGUCUUGUGCCUACGUACCAACAUAAAAAUGAGGGAUCAAAACCU
RNAcentral lists this long non-coding RNA (207 nucleotides) under Lathyrus oleraceus (garden pea). RNAcentral describes it as "Pisum sativum (pea) long non-coding RNA (PSAT_LNC024222)". The record is from RNAcentral. Lineage: Eukaryota; Viridiplantae; Streptophyta; Magnoliopsida; Fabales; Fabaceae.